Molecule: ribosomal RNA, 465 nt
Filed under: Vreelandella stevensii
Lineage: Bacteria; Pseudomonadati; Pseudomonadota; Gammaproteobacteria; Oceanospirillales; Halomonadaceae
Description: partial 16S ribosomal RNA
Rfam family: Bacterial small subunit ribosomal RNA
Source: RNAcentral
CCUACGGGUGGCAGCAGUGGGGAAUAUUGGACAAUGGGGGGAACCCUGAUCCAGCCAUGCCGCGUGUGUGAAGAAGGCCCUCGGGUUGUAAAGCACUUUCAGUGAGGAAGAACGCCUGGUGGUGAAUACCCAUCAGGAAAGACAUCACUCACAGAAGAAGCACCGGCUAACUCCGUGCCAGCAGCCGCGGUAAUACGGAGGGUGCGAGCGUUAAUCGGAAUUACUGGGCGUAAAGCGCGCGUAGGUGGCUUGAUAAGCCGGUUGUGAAAGCCCCGGGCUCAACCUGGGAACGGCAUCCGGAACUGUCAAGCUAGAGUGCAGGAGAGGAAGGUAGAAUUCCCGGGGUAGCGGUGAAAUGCGUAGAGAUCGGGAGGAAUACCAGUGGCGAAGGCGGCCUUCUGGACUGACACUGACACUGAGGUGCGAAAGCGUGGGUAGCAAACAGGAUUAGAUACCCUUGUAGUC